AUCGGAAUUCGUAGAAGGACACCUUUUUAUUUAAGUAUGUUUUUCUUUGUAGAUGAAAGAUCAACAAAUUAUUUACCAAUUCAGAGUCUGCAAGGGCAAUCUAAUAAUCGGCUGAACUGUAGUCCGCGCGGGGCAUAUUAAAACAGGGGGUUGUUUGUUUGGCUUGGUGCGCUCUGCUAUAUAAAGUGCUUACUCUAUCUCAGGGACUCAUUCUGCCGUCGCUUCCUGACUCAUAAGAUUCUCAAACCCGGACACAAGUUUUUAUUACCUAAGAAGGCAACUGGUUAUUUUAUGUGCGUUUAGUUUUAAUACAUUAAGU
This is a long non-coding RNA of Pectinophora gossypiella (pink bollworm), 319 nucleotides long. RefSeq lists it as uncharacterized. The record is from RefSeq and is a predicted model, not a curated record. NCBI's taxonomy places the organism in Eukaryota, Metazoa, Arthropoda, Insecta, Lepidoptera, Gelechiidae. The transcript is spliced from 3 exons.